GCCAGGUGUGGUGGCUCACGCCUGUAAUCCCAGCACUUUGGGAGGCUGAGGUGGGUGGAUCACGAGGUCAGGAGUUUGAGACCAGCCUGACCAACAUGGUGAAACCCCGUCUCUACUAAAAAUACNNNNNNNNNNGUAUUUUUAGUAGAGACGGGGUUUCACCAUGUUGGUCAGGCUGGUCUCAAACUCCUGACCUCGUGAUCCACCCACCUCAG
Gorilla gorilla gorilla (western lowland gorilla) is the source of this 215-nucleotide non-coding RNA. It matches the Rfam family "Metazoan signal recognition particle RNA". From Rfam's summary of the family: The signal recognition particle (SRP) is a universally conserved ribonucleoprotein. It is involved in the co-translational targeting of proteins to membranes. The eukaryotic SRP consists of a 300-nucleotide 7S RNA and six proteins: SRPs 72, 68, 54, 19, 14, and 9. NCBI's taxonomy places the organism in Eukaryota, Metazoa, Chordata, Mammalia, Primates, Hominidae. The record is from Rfam.